Trachemys scripta elegans is the source of this 920-nucleotide long non-coding RNA. RefSeq lists it as uncharacterized. The record is from RefSeq and is a predicted model, not a curated record. The transcript has 3 exons. NCBI's taxonomy places the organism in Eukaryota, Metazoa, Chordata, Testudines, Emydidae.
UGGAUAGAUGACUUCUUGUUGGUUUUGAAUUUUGAGAAACAUGUUUCUCUGCCUUAUCACAACUCUCAGCUGCUACUGUGGAGCAAAUGAUUAGUUCACUGCUAAAGUGGAAUAUGAAAAGAAUAUCUUAUUUAUAUAUUGCCCAUCACCAUAUCGCUAGGCACUGUGCCCGGCCAAUUGGCUCAAAGAGAAGCAGCUAUUCUGCCAAAAGAAGAACUAAGAAAAACAUAAUCCACAAAUGAAGAGCUAGUGAAGAGCGCAGACACAAUAGUCAAAGAUGAACUGUUCUAAAUAGAAAGACCUAGCACUGAGCAUUGAAGACAGCUACGAAGACAAUCUGACAGAUGUGGCAGUUUAUACAUGUGCUGUUGUUUCUGACAGAGCAAUAACUUUUGACCUGGAUUAAGUCUAGACUUACAACAAAGACGGAAGAAAUGAAUCCCACGAUUAAAGGUGAACCAGAAGGCACUGAAGAUGAUCCAUACGGUGAUACUACUGCAUAUACCUGUGUUGCUCGUACCUGUCCCAAAACUGAAUUCUUGACUUUUAUGGUGGAAGGACUAUCAGCAGACUACCACUGAAUGUCUUAACAUCCAAGAGAAAGGACAAGCCACAGGUGCACAACUGAGCUCAGCCCAGAAUAUCAGAAGGCUUCCAGAAAAUACUAGCAAAGAAGCUGUGUGAUUUAAAUGAAAAUUCAAGACCCCAACAGUCAAGAACUUGGGAUGGGAUGUUAAGACUAUUUCAUUUUUAUGAAAAAUGUGUUAUCAAGUGGACCUGCCAUGAAAGUGUGCAGUUCUGAAACUCUCUAAAAAGAUGCAGUAGCCACAACACAUAUGCAAAUAGGAGCAGAUACCAAGCUCAAAAGUAGCCUCCAUAUGCUUGUCAAAACCAAGAUUUCAAUUCCAUAGAUUCAGAGA